GUGUCUGUAGUGUAAUGGCUAGCACAAGAGAUUGUGAAUCUCUUAGAUCAAGGUUCGAUUCCUGAUAGACACCC
RNAcentral lists this transfer RNA (74 nucleotides) under Hyunsoonleella pacifica. RNAcentral describes it as "tRNA-His". It matches the Rfam family "tRNA". Rfam says of the family: Transfer RNA (tRNA) molecules are approximately 80 nucleotides in length. Their secondary structure includes four short double-helical elements and three loops (D, anti-codon, and T loops). The record is from RNAcentral. Lineage: Bacteria; Pseudomonadati; Bacteroidota; Flavobacteriia; Flavobacteriales; Flavobacteriaceae.